Molecule: long non-coding RNA, 456 nt
Filed under: Capsicum annuum
Lineage: Eukaryota; Viridiplantae; Streptophyta; Magnoliopsida; Solanales; Solanaceae
Description: long non-coding RNA (CANN_LNC001673)
Source: RNAcentral
AGAAACUCAUAUAUUUGGGCACACCAAAUCAAAGUAUAGAUAAAGUCCAUGUCAAAACAAGCUGAAAUUGAAAUUCAAACGAUGUCUCUUCUAUGUAUAAGGUGAGAAUCGAGCUAUACAUGAGUAGAAUUGGUUGAGAUUUAACACAUGGAAUUAUAGGUAAGGCUGGAACCAAAUUUAUAAUGGAAAUUCUGAUCCUUGUUCAUGAUAUUCUGUCGUCAAAGAUCUCGGGAGAUUCGGGCCCAUGGCAACUUCCCACUACAACAAGAUUCAUGAUGCCUCCUCCACAAGACCAUAUCCUCUCGCGGUCCCAGCAGUCUUUUAGCCAGAGUAUCCAUGAUUUUUAUCGUUUAAGUAAGGCCUUGCAUGAGAGGUGAAACAUCUCAUCUUCAUGUGUAAAACACAAUUCGUUAUAUAUGAGUUCUAAGAAUUCAAAUCCUACAAUUUUUUCUCCAA